UACGUAGGGUGCAAGCGUUAAUCGGAAUUACUGGGCGUAAAGCGUGCGCAGGCGGCUUUGCAAGACAGAUGUGAAAUCCCCGGGCUUAACCUGGGAACUGCAUUUGUGACUGCAUGGCUGGAGUGCGGCAGAGGGGGAUGGAAUUCCGCGUGUAGCAGUGAAAUGCGUAGAUAUGCGGAGGAACACCGAUGGCGAAGGCAAUCCCCUGGGCCAUUACUGACGCUGAGGAGCGAAAGCGUGGGGAGCGAACAGG
RNAcentral lists this ribosomal RNA (253 nucleotides) under uncultured bacterium. RNAcentral's name for it is "partial 16S ribosomal RNA". It matches the Rfam family "Bacterial small subunit ribosomal RNA", at positions 524 to 776 of the family's 1533-position model. The record is from RNAcentral.